RNAcentral lists this ribosomal RNA (1145 nucleotides) under Corynebacterium diphtheriae. Its description in RNAcentral is "bacterial SSU rRNA". It matches the Rfam family "Bacterial small subunit ribosomal RNA", at positions 369 to 1524 of the family's 1533-position model. The record is from RNAcentral. Lineage: Bacteria; Bacillati; Actinomycetota; Actinomycetes; Mycobacteriales; Corynebacteriaceae.
CAAUGGGCGCAAGCCUGAUGCAGCGACGCCGCGUGGGGGAUGACGGCCUUCGGGUUGUAAACCUCUUUCGCUAGGGACGAAGCUUUUGUGACGGUACCUAGAUAAGAAGCACCGGCUAACUACGUGCCAGCAGCCGCGGUAAUACGUAGGGUGCGAGCGUUGUCCGGAAUUACUGGGCGUAAAGAGCUCGUAGGUGGUUUGUCGCGUCGUCUGUGAAAUUCCGGGGCUUAACUUCGGGCGUGCAGGCGAUACGGGCAUAACUUGAGUGCUGUAGGGGAGACUGGAAUUCCUGGUGUAGCGGUGGAAUGCGCAGAUAUCAGGAGGAACACCGAUGGCGAAGGCAGGUCUCUGGGCAGUAACUGACGCUGAGGAGCGAAAGCAUGGGGAGCGAACAGGAUUAGAUACCCUGGUAGUCCAUGCCGUAAACGGUGGGCGCUAGGUGUGAGGGUCUUCCACGACUUUCGUGCCGUAGCUAACGCAUUAAGCGCCCCGCCUGGGGAGUACGGCCGCAAGGCUAAAACUCAAAGGAAUUGACGGGGGCCCGCACAAGCGGCGGAGCAUGUGGAUUAAUUCGAUGCAACGCGAAGAACCUUACCUGGGCUUGACAUAUGCAGGAUCGGCGUAGUGAUACGUUUUCCCUUGUGGUCUGUAUACAGGUGGUGCAUGGUUGUCGUCAGCUCGUGUCGUGAGAUGUUGGGUUAAGUCCCGCAACGAGCGCAACCCUUGUCUUAUGUUGCCAGCACGUGAUGGUGGGGACUCAUGAGAGACUGCCGGGGUUAACUCGGAGGAAGGUGGGGAUGACGUCAAAUCAUCAUGCCCCUUAUGUCCAGGGCUUCACACAUGCUACAAUGGUCGGUACAACGCGCUGCGAGCCUGUGAGGGUGAGCGAAUCGCUGAAAGCCGGCCUCAGUUCGGAUUGGGGUCUGCAACUCGACCCCAUGAAGUCGGAGUCGCUAGUAAUCGCAGAUCAGCAACGCUGCGGUGAAUACGUUCCCGGGCCUUGUACACACCGCCCGUCACGUCAUGAAAGUUGGUAACACCCGAAGCCAGUGGCCUAACCCUUGUGGGGGGAGCUGUCGAAGGUGGGAUCGGCGAUUGGGACGAAGUCGUAACAAGGUAGCCGUACCGGAAGGUGCGGCUGGAUC